AGUAAAAGUGAGAGUCGUCGCUAGGAUCGUGAGUCGAUGCUGGGAUCAUUACAGAGUUGCAAAACUCCCUAAACAUGCUCGCUUGUUACCUGAAACCGUUGCUUCGGCGGGCGGCGCCACACCGGCGCCCCCCUAAACCAGGGCCCCAACGUGGUUACGCCGGAGGCCAUGCUCGUCUGUAUUUUUCACGGCCUCUCUGAGUCUGUACUUGAAUAAGUCAAAACUUUCAACAACGGAUCUCUUGGUUCUGGCAUCGAUGAAGAACGCAGCGAUGCUGCCGAAGUAAUGUGAAUUGCAGAAUUCAGUGAAUCAUCGAAUCUUUGAAUGCUGAUUGCGCCCGCCAGUAUUCUGGCGGGCAUGCCUGAUGCUCGCUGAUAGUUGCCAUCAAGCCCCAGGCUUGUGUUGGGGACCUGCGGCUGCCGCAGGUGGCGUGGAUGAGUGGCGGGCUCGCUGUCACACCGAGCGUAGUAAAUCACCUCGCUUAGGGCGUGCUGCGGGCGCCGGCCGUAAAAAGCCAAUGCUCGCUGUAGAUGUCGCUGGAUCAGGUAGGAAUACCCGCUGAACUUAAGCAUAUCAAUAAGCGGAGGA
RNAcentral lists this ribosomal RNA (588 nucleotides) under uncultured fungus. RNAcentral describes it as "eukaryotic LSU rRNA". The stretch from base 222 to 369 matches the Rfam family "5.8S ribosomal RNA". Lineage: Eukaryota; Fungi. The record is from RNAcentral.